RNAcentral lists this long non-coding RNA (958 nucleotides) under Equus caballus (horse). RNAcentral's name for it is "lncRNA (ENSECAG00000059282.1)". The record is from RNAcentral. Lineage: Eukaryota; Metazoa; Chordata; Mammalia; Perissodactyla; Equidae.
GUGCCAAUCUUUAAAUAAAGAAAUAAUAAAAAAGAAAAUGGUCCGUAAGGCUUAGACUCGGAGGAGACUGCUGGAGUCUUUAUCUAAAAGCCCCUUUUCCACUUCAGCAGUCAUCACAGUUUGUUUCUCUUUCCCUAGAAGGUAUCUCACACCACGUAAAGGGCAUGGAUUCUUUUCCAAUUAUUUCAGUAAAAAGUACAAUGAAUGAAUACAAGUACACACACAUACACUUUAAAUCAACCAUGUCUAGAGACUUCUAGAGCAAGUGUCAGGAAAAAGAUUUUGUCAGGCAUAGGGAAGAGACCCAGAACAGGUGUGGUCCAUGCCGAUGUGGCCUGAGGAGAAAUGCCACAGAUGGGGGGAUGGGACAGAAGGCAGUGAACACCUCCAGCGCAGGGAAGGACAGAGGUAUCUGAAGACCAGAAGGAAGAUGCCGAUUGAUGCAGAUGAGCACAGCAUGACCUUGAGAGCUACGUUUAAAAGGACAGAGCCAUGACAGGGAGGAGCCUGGAUCACCACUUAGAGGAGAGAAGGGAGCUCAGCAGGAGCACCCAGGAACAAGAAUAGAUGUCUCUGGAUUAUAAUAUUCAGAAGCAGGAGAGGAUUCUUUUAUUGGAUCAUAUGUCAUGAUUGUGGGCUCAGAAAACCAGGCCUGUGGGAAUUAUGGAGCCUUUGAUGGUUUGCCCCAAGCUUCUGUCUUUGAAUAAAGGAACCCACAUUUCACAGCCUAGAGGUUGAGAGAAGACCCCCAUACUGCACCCCAGGCCUCUCCCCAACCUCAUUCUCCAAAAAACCCAGCCAGACCUUGCUCACCUCAUAAAAGCUGAUGAAAGACAGACACCUCUCACUGGUGACAUUUUGUAUUUUAUCUUAACUGAAGAAUUUUUCAGUGAAAAUGGAUUUAUCUCCCUACUAAUUUUGGAAAGUCACCAGGAAAUAAAACGUUGAUUACCUGAAC